Molecule: long non-coding RNA, 1398 nt
Organism: Xyrauchen texanus (razorback sucker)
Lineage: Eukaryota; Metazoa; Chordata; Actinopteri; Cypriniformes; Catostomidae
Exons: 3
Source: RefSeq, a predicted model, not a curated record
UUGUUUUAUUUUCCAGGCAAAACACUGUCAACAUUGGUGCAAGAGCUUACUUGAGUUUCUGCAGUACCAUUUCAAUUUUGUAAGACUGUUGAUUUCACUUAUUCUGCCUUGGCUUUUCCUCAAGUCAAGUCAAGUCAUGUCAAGUUCUUUAUUGUCAUUAUAGUAGUACAACAAUAUUAUUUAAAGAUCUCAAGAUCUCACCAAGAUCAUAUUGUAACAAUCAUAUAUAUAGUACAAGUAUGUGUCUACUUGAUUUAGCAGAUACAGCCUGAGUUUGACCAGUCUUCACAGUCUGUACUCAGUAGACAUAAAGCAAGGUUACGUUUAGAAGUGGCAAAAUUUCGUAAGGUCAAAGUUGGUUUGAUUAUGAUUUCUCAGUGUCUACGUUUACAUGGACACCAGAAACUGGGUUAUCAUGAGAAAGCAUCUUUUUGUUUACAUGCACUGUAUAAGCGGCGUACACUUUACUCCCAUUUACAUGUGGCUCGAUCAGUAAGAAGCUUUUUCCACAGCAGUGUAGUUUCCUUGUGACACUUGUGUAAAUAACAAACAUGGUAUCUGAUGAAGACUUUGUUAUUUUAUUCUCUGUUGCUUCGCUUUAUUUCCAGAUAUUUCCAGAGUUGUUGCUGUGUUUGUUUCCUUAACGUUCAAAUGUGACCUGCAGCGGAAUUGUGCUGCAAUAGAGGGAUUUUCCUCAUAUGUCAUUUCUGGGAUUCCCCCAACAACGAGCGCAUUUAUGUGAAUAUGAGGGACAGUCGAUAUCUUACAUCGAAGAAAUAAAGGAGCAGUAAGUGAUGCAGUCAGGAAAUCAGAAACAAAAUCCAAUCUCAAGUGGUCAAAGGAGACACAUUCCAGGUGAAAUGAAUGCCAGGUGUAAACAGCAGCCUGUCUCACCUGCACCUGCACCACUCAGAACGGAUGUUCAUUAGCAGGUGUAAACAUAGUCAAAGCACAGUCAGGGCUGAAACAAUCCUCAUUAUGAGCAUUCCUCAUUAUGAGCAUUACCCAACAUUAUUGUGGGAAGGAGCGAUACAUGCAUGAACAAGAAAGGAGCGAUACAUGCAUGAACAUCCAUGAGUUUGACAUAGCUGUUGAAUUCAGUGAUUAUUUGGACUGUACUAGUGAGUAUGUGUGUUGUUUGCUUUAAAAAAAAAAAAACUAUAAAUGUGCUCUAUAAUAAGAACAUAAACCUAUUACAUCCGGUGUCCAAUUACAUGCCUACUUCUCUACUACAAAGCAGUAUGUAAAAUGAAUAGGGUGUCUGAAUCCACAGUAUUCAUUAAACAGCAUGCAAGAAAUAUCCAAAUUACUACAUCCUGCAAGAUUCUGAAGUGCAAAUCCACUGAACACCUUACUAUUCCAAAAGACCAUGUUAUCUAAGGUGACAUCAUAUUCAAA